ACUACAUGAUGUGUAUGAAAUUUUAAUUUAAAAAUUUUAUAUCUAAAUUGAUCAAGAGAUUUUUUGAUAUUAUUGUUGAGAUUGUUAAUGAAAAAUUGAUAUCUUUAGAUUAAGAUAAAAGAUCUGAUUUAUAUUUAUUCGAGAUUAUGGGAUCCAUAUGAAUUUGUAAAUUAAAAAUUUUGGAUUUAGAAAUUGAUAUGGAGUUCCUUUGCUUUUGUUAACGAGGUCCUUAAUUGAAUCUAUUAUUAAAUAGAGAUUUAAUCCUUUGAGGAUUGUAUGAUUGUUA
RNAcentral lists this long non-coding RNA (286 nucleotides) under Elaeis guineensis (African oil palm). RNAcentral describes it as "long non-coding RNA (EGUI_LNC023186)". The record is from RNAcentral. Lineage: Eukaryota; Viridiplantae; Streptophyta; Magnoliopsida; Arecales; Arecaceae.